RNAcentral lists this ribosomal RNA (440 nucleotides) under uncultured bacterium. Its description in RNAcentral is "partial 16S ribosomal RNA". It matches the Rfam family "Bacterial small subunit ribosomal RNA", at positions 338 to 795 of the family's 1533-position model. The record is from RNAcentral.
CCUACGGGUGGCAGCAGUGGGGAAUAUUGCACAAUGGGGGAAACCCUGAUGCAGCGACGCCGCGUGAGUGAAGAAGUAAUUCGUUAUGUAAAGCUCUAUCAGCAGGGAAGAAAAUGACGGUACCUUAGUAAGAAGCCCCGGCUAACUACGUGCCAGCCGCCGCGGUAAUACGUAGGGGGCAAGCGUGAUCGGGAUUUACUGGGUGUAAAGGGAGGGUAGACGGUAGUGCAAGUCUGGAGUGAAAGGCGGGGGCUAAACCCUCGGACUGCUCUGGAAACUGGACGGCUGGAGUGCAGGAGAGGUAAGUGGAAUUCCUAGUGUAGCGGUGAAAUGCGUAGAGAUUAGGAGGAACACCAGUGGCGAAGGCGGCUUACUGGACUGUAACUGACGUUGAGGCGCGAAAGCGUGGGGAGUAAACAGGAUUAGAUACCCGUGUAGUC